RNAcentral lists this long non-coding RNA (344 nucleotides) under Lathyrus oleraceus (garden pea). RNAcentral's name for it is "Pisum sativum (pea) long non-coding RNA (PSAT_LNC037674)". Lineage: Eukaryota; Viridiplantae; Streptophyta; Magnoliopsida; Fabales; Fabaceae. The record is from RNAcentral.
UGAUUCAUUUAGUUGUUUUUCAGCUUUCUAAGUGCUUUUGAAAAGUGCUUUUAAAAUAAGCUAUUUUUGUUUUCUGCAGAUUACAGGUUUGAAGAGACUUGAUGUAAUGGAAGGUGGCUGCUACAAGCUUCAAGACAACCUGUUUUCGUGACUAAGUCCAAAGUGAUUUCAUCUUAAUUGCUUGGUUUUGGUCAUUAGGAACUUAUUCCCAUUUGUAGCAAAUUUCAAUGUAAUUACAUUGGGUUUUUUUUAAAGACAAAUGUGUGCUUGGAUUAUGUAACUUAUUGAAUUAAAAGUCUGAUAACCAUUAAUAAUUAUGUAUUCAACCUUUUAAUCUUUCAAAA